GCGGGGCACACCAGAAAUGGGUUUCACACAUUGUACCCAUGUGGGGAAUCGAACCUGGGUCUUCAGCAUGAUGAGCUAACACCCUAACCCCUAGGCUACCGCCCC
Haliotis rubra (blacklip abalone) is the source of this 105-nucleotide long non-coding RNA. RefSeq lists it as uncharacterized. The record is from RefSeq and is a predicted model, not a curated record. The transcript is spliced from 2 exons. NCBI's taxonomy places the organism in Eukaryota, Metazoa, Mollusca, Gastropoda, Lepetellida, Haliotidae.